UACAGAGGUCUCAACCGUUGUUCGGAUUCAUUGGGCGUAAAGGGUGCGUAGGCGGUCGCGUAAGUCAGGUGUGAAAUCUCAGGGCUCAACCCUGAAACUGCACUUGAUACUGCGUGGCUCGGGUACUGGAGAGGAGACUGGAAUUUACGGUGUAGCAGUGAAAUGCGUAGAUAUUGGGAGGAACACCAGUGGCGAAGGCGGCUCACUGGACUGGUACUGACGCUGAUGCGCGAAAGCGUGGGGAGCAAACAGG
This 253-nucleotide ribosomal RNA is filed under the name uncultured bacterium. RNAcentral describes it as "partial 16S ribosomal RNA". It matches the Rfam family "Bacterial small subunit ribosomal RNA", at positions 524 to 776 of the family's 1533-position model. The record is from RNAcentral.